AAGUCGUAACAAGGUUUCCGUAGGUGAACCUGCGGAAGGAUCAUUCACUUGAAAUGGGAUGGGUUCAACUUAUCUCUUUUAACGAAUUUAACCUAAACCUAACUGAGCCGCGUCAACCAAAUCCUGCGAAAACAUAUUUACACUCUGUGUUCAUUUUCUGGAAGUAGCGGGUAGGGGUUGUCUAAAAUCUUGAUUUUAGCUGACCUCUGUCUGGGCCCUGCUGUUGACCUGGUUUCAACUCGGCGGGGAAUCCUUACAUCAUCUGUGUCUACACUUUUAACCUUGUUGGCUUGAGAAAUUGGGCUAACUUAUUGAAACAAUUUAUAAAUAUACAACUCUUUGCAAUGGAUAUCUUGGUUCUC
This 362-nucleotide unclassified non-coding RNA is filed under the name fungal sp. RNAcentral describes it as "partial internal transcribed spacer region". The stretch from base 1 to 46 matches the Rfam family "Eukaryotic small subunit ribosomal RNA", at positions 1786 to 1831 of the family's 1831-position model. Lineage: Eukaryota; Fungi. The record is from RNAcentral.